CCUACGGGUGGCAGCAGUGGGGAAUAUUGCACAAUGGGGGAAACCCUGAUGCAGCAAUGCCGCGUGAGUGAUGACGGCCUUCGGGUUGUAAAGCUCUGUCUUCGGGGACGAUAAUGACGGUACCCGAGGAGGAAGCCACGGCUAACUACGUGCCAGCAGCCGCGGUAAUACGUAGGUGGCAAGCGUUGUCCGGAUUUACUGGGCGUAAAGGGAGCGUAGGCGGACUUUUAAGUGAGAUGUGAAAUACCCGGGCUCAACUUGGGUGCUGCAUUUCAAACUGGAAGUCUAGAGUGCAGGAGAGGAGAAGGGAAUUCCUAGUGUAGCGGUGAAAUGCGUAGAGAUUAGGAAGAACACCAGUGGCGAAGGCGCUUCUCUGGACUGUAACUGACGCUGAGGCUCGAAAGCGUGGGGAGCAAACAGGAUUAGAUACCCGAGUAGUC
RNAcentral lists this ribosomal RNA (440 nucleotides) under uncultured bacterium. RNAcentral describes it as "bacterial SSU rRNA". It matches the Rfam family "Bacterial small subunit ribosomal RNA", at positions 338 to 795 of the family's 1533-position model. The record is from RNAcentral.